This 180-nucleotide small nucleolar RNA is filed under the name Candida tropicalis MYA-3404. Lineage: Eukaryota; Fungi; Ascomycota; Pichiomycetes; Serinales; Debaryomycetaceae. The record is from RNAcentral.
ACGGCCUCUUCGAAGAUCCUUAUACCUUUUUCUCGGUGGUAUAAUGAUUCAAAGCGAGGCCUAAAGCGACAUUCACGACUAAUUUGGCUUCUUCUCUUACAGUAUUCACAAGGAAAAAUAUAGUAAUACGCUAUGGGAGUCGAAACUGGUAACGUUAUAUUACUGGCUGAUAAUUAGUUU